This 243-nucleotide ribosomal RNA is filed under the name uncultured bacterium. Its description in RNAcentral is "partial 16S ribosomal RNA". It matches the Rfam family "Bacterial small subunit ribosomal RNA", at positions 534 to 776 of the family's 1533-position model. The record is from RNAcentral.
GCAAGCGUUAUCCGGAAUUAUUGGGCGUAAAGCGUCCGCAGGUGGCUAUUCAAGUCUGCGGUCAAAGACUGGGGCUUAACCCUGGAAAGGCCGUGGAAACUGAAGAGCUAGAGUGCAGUAGGGGUAGAGGGAAUUCCCGGUGUAGCGGUGAAAUGCGUAGAGCUCGGGAAGAACAUCGGUGGCGAAAGCGCUCUGCUGGACUGCAACUGACACUCAGGGACGAAAGCUAGGGGAGCGAAUGGG